UAAAUCGAUAGAGGCGCGGGCAAGAUGAGCCUUGGCAAAGCCGGCAGGCGUUUGAUGCCAGGGGGAGGUGCGCUCGCCGAACUUAUGCGUCAGGCAUGGCGCGUGGGUGGGCUUGCGGGGAAUACCCUCAAGACUGUCCGCAGCAACGCUGCGGGUGCGCUAUCUUGCUG
This 170-nucleotide non-coding RNA is filed under the name Slackia piriformis. Its description in RNAcentral is "Lysine sequence". It matches the Rfam family "Lysine riboswitch aptamer". From Rfam's summary of the family: Riboswitches are metabolite binding domains within certain messenger RNAs that serve as precision sensors for their corresponding targets. The record is from RNAcentral. Lineage: Bacteria; Bacillati; Actinomycetota; Coriobacteriia; Eggerthellales; Eggerthellaceae. RNAcentral also lists the same sequence under 1 other name.